Labrus bergylta (ballan wrasse) is the source of this 6022-nucleotide non-coding RNA. The record is from RefSeq and is a predicted model, not a curated record. Lineage: Eukaryota; Metazoa; Chordata; Actinopteri; Labriformes; Labridae.
CAGUCACACCACGGCACACUUCUACUGACUUUUACUACACACCUCAUACACACCUAGCAUCCUAGUGGGGAGAGAUUACAGUUAUUCCCUCUCCGGGGAUGCGAGCCUCCGGGGGGUAAUCUAGAGUCCUGUACCAGGGGUUAUUCUUGUUAGGCAGAUAAUCCGAGGGCUAUGUGAUAAUAACAAGUCCUUUCUCCUCCAAAGGGUGUUAGCGGAGUAAUUUUACAUAGCUCCAGGUACUAGGAAAGAGUAGACUAGCGGCUGGUAGGGAGUGAGCUCUAGGAAAGAGUAGUCUGGUUAACUAAUGGGUGGUGAGCUUCCUUUAGCUAUAGUAAAGUUAUUCACCCCUUUUUGCAUGUCCAGGAUAUGUCACAGUAGACACCAUCAUUCGUUUGUCUUCAGAUGUUCAGGCUCUUUUCAGGGACACGACCGUUUACUGUUUCAACAUCAUGAUGAGCCUAUGCACAUGAGACUGGUCCAUAUAGAGCAUAGUUUUCCCAGUUUGCUGUGCAAGGAUUAAUCUGUACGAGAGCCCUGACCUCUAUCUUAGACUUUGGGAUGAGCUGAAGCAGAACAGAAUGAACAUCAAUGUCAAGCUUCACUAAAACUGAUGUAGGCAGAUCUCAAACUGUGAUGCAGAACCUUUCUCUUAGGAGCAGAGGCAGUUACUGAUAAGUUGCCAUUAUUGAGUAUUUCAUUGUUUAUUAGUCCACAUACAUACUUUAAUAACUUAAAUAAGAAGUGCUCUUUAAACUUAUUAACAGUGGCAAUGGUUUUUGUUCUUUGUAGUGUACAGCUUAUAAUUGGACACUGUGGAAACUUCAGAGUGAUAAAAAAGUGACAAUAUCUCAUUCAGGUUUUGUUGCAAUGGAACUUUUUAAAAGUCGUGAAGUGGUAUCGUUUCACAGAGACAAAAAAUAAAAAAGAAAGCAAUAAGUCAGAAACAAGGCGCUGUUAUGGCACAAUUUUAUCGUCAUCACAGUAUGAUCAUCUGCAACAAACACAUCGCAAAAGCCUGAAUUUAUCUCAAUAAAUAUGAAACAAUACAAUACAAACAGGUAUUAUACUGCCUUACACAUGAUUUGUAUAUUUCACCUUUUGAAUGAAGGCCUGAGAAUAAUUGCCAUGGGUUCUCACCAAUGCCAAUUUCACAUGUGGGCGACUGUGAAAGAUGUUCUUCUACAACAAACACACAGAGGAUGUGGUUAAGAGCAGUUCAAACUGGCAGCAGAUACAAACUUUGUCAGUCAUAGAUAGAUAAUACUGGACUGAAAAUUUGCCUUGCCUCACAGUGGCUCUGUUUGCGACAGUUAAGACAGGAAACAAAGAUAUGAUUUUACACAGGCAAAGACAGUUUCAACACACACAUUGCUUUGCAUUUUAGAAGUAUCCUCAGACAUCUGAGUUGUUGGCACAUUCACUGCUGACACGCACUUAAACUGUGUCUCCUGUGGCCUUGAGCACUCUGAUGGUAUGCGCAGUUCACUGAUAAAACUGCUGCUGCUGUGGAGAGGAUCUGUCCUGUUCAUGUGUUCUUUAUCUUAUCCAAGAAGCUUUUCCGCUCUUUGACUUUCAAAUGAGUGCCUUUGUGUUUCUUUCUUGCAGAAUUUCACUUUUAAAAUCAAACCCGGGGCAGUACAGAAACCUAAAACAUUUCUAAAAAAAACCCAGCUGAGAGGGGAGGUCAGUGAAACUAGUUGUUGGAAAACUGCCGAGCAUUGCUCUGAAUUUAUCAGGUGAGGAUGAGAAAAUGCCAACAUGGAGAUAAGUCAUGUUGCUGAUAAUGCUGAAAAAGGCUUCUCCCUUACAUAGAUAAGAUUGGCACAAAUACACAGCACAACAUUUAUAGUCUGGGAAUAGUAAAGACUUGAGCAUUUAUGGCAAAGCAGCUUCCUGGAAGUGAGAGUGAGAAAUGGAAUCUGCUCUCAUUACUGGCUCAAUGAAUGAAGAAAGGGAAAAAUGAAAACACAGCCUUUGAAAGUAAUAAAGCAGAAGAGGAGGAGAGGUUAAUGAAUAGCUCUGAAGGAAUGAGAAACAUUAGUUACUACUCCAUGUGGCAACAGAUUCUGGAGAGUGGGCUCUGAGUGUUUAUGGAGAGGCCUUUUGAUCCUCUUUAAAGAAACUCAGCUCUUGACCUGCUUUCUUUUUUAACUUUUUUUUUUUUUACAUCCACCAUUGUAGGAAGAACAUAUAUUCACAUGUAUCAUUAGACACAGAAAUAUAUUUAAUCAAAGUUUUGUUUAAUGACCCUGUUUAUUUUUUACUCUUACACAUUUCAGACUGUAUGAGGAAAAAACCCAAAUGUAGCUAAAUGAUUUGUACUUGUUACUCCAUGUCCGAUGUUGAAUAUCUAGAGGUGGAAAAGGUGCAAUAAUACUGUACUCAGGUGAAAUUAAAGAGCAGUUGUACUUAAGUAAAAGAAUAACCACUGGUCUACAUAGCUACAUCAAUAAAAGUAAAAAGUUAUUUAUUUAAAAUGUAAUUACAGCGUUGACUUUUUGAAUCCUGAGGUGGGGUUGAUAAAUCAAAAUAUGAUAUCAAUUCAAUAACACUGUAUGGAUGUAAUAUGAAAUCAUUACUCUUGUUAUGAUCCUGAGCAUUUAAACAGAAAGAUGUACAUGAUUUAUUUCACAAGUAAAAAUGUAGCUCUACUGAAAUAUUAGCUUUUUUUUUUCUUUUUUUUUUUAAAGGUGGAUUCUUGCUCCAGAAUAGAGAUUUAGUUUCUCCUUUCAUGUGUCUUCAUGUCCCUCCUCAACAUUACCAGGCUUUUAGCUGGGUCCACGUUUCUGUCCCACCCAUCCAUUUUCAUCUUGUGAUCUGAGCAUCAGCUAGUGUCUUCUUCUUCCCCUCCAAUCUAUCCGUGCUCCUGUCCGUCAUGUUGUGCAGGUAAGCCAAUCAGCUGGCCAGCUUCUAGGAGUAGAUUUGAUUUCCUGGUGCCUUUUUAGUUGUUUUUUUUACUCAGUAACAAAUGCUAUUUAAAAUAAAGUGAAGUACAAUACUUCCCCCACAUAUACAGAUAUAUAGUAUAAGUAUAAGUAAGUAUGAGUAUAAGAAACAAGUACUCUAUUACAGAACAUGAGUAGAUGUGAUUUUUGACUUUCCACCUGGUGAAUAUUUCACAUAAACAGAGGUGGAGAGUAAAUAAUAAUAAUAACUUUAUUUAAAUAGCACCUUUUAAAAACAAGACAUUACAAUCAUGUCUUCAACACCUUUUACACCAAUCAGUGUAAAGAUUUAGAAACAGAAACACAUGCAUGUAAAACGCUAACUGUAAGAUUUAGAAUAAUCCCACAGUUCAAUCAACACCCCCCCAAAACAAAUUACUUUACAGCCUUUUUUAUGGACGCUUUAAGGGCAGGGCAGUUGUGUUAGACUAGUGAGGUGUUCCAAAAAAAGUUGCUGUCUCUUGUCUCUUCCACAUCCUUUUGGAAACUAAAACUUGAAACUGAAAAGUUGAGGUUUAGAGUUAAGAAGAACCCUUGCUUUUGAGAUUGAUUCUCAUGAAAUGAUGUGUCAUGAAAAGACGGCCCUGUCAUAUUUUAAAGCUCACGUAAUUUCCAGAGCAACAUUUUUUAUUACUUUCUCUAGAAAACGAAAUCAGUAACGAAAAUGAAUCUGAUUUCCUGGAAAUGAACGUUUACGUUGCUGCACUUUGUUCCUGCUGCUGCAAACAAAACCGGUCUCUUGAGCUCUAACAGGCGUGACUUCACAGAGGACUGCUUCCACUCAGAGAUACUUUUCUUGGGAAUUGUGAUGAAGUCAGUAAAAAAGUGUGCAUUUUAGUGAAGUGAGGAUGAAGGGGUUCUACAAACACACAGCACCAGAUGCCAGGAGCUCAUACUGCACAUACAUGGCUUUCCCUGCACUCUCACAUUGAGUAAGAGCUGCUGCUGUCUUCCUGUUAAUGGCAUUGAAAGCGGUCGGGGGUGGAAAUCAGCGAUGAGGGCAAUCAUUGGGACAUCAAGGCUCCCUCCUAAAAAAUCGAAGCCAGAUGACAGUAAAAAGCUCCACAUGGGAUUUGUGCACACGAAAACACUUACAGCCACAAUCCAGACUUGAACACAUUGCACAAGACCCCACAUGGUUCUGACAAACACGCACACUUUCCGAGUCUUGCUGACACACUCGGUUUCUCACACGCAACUCUCUACAAUGCUCUGGAUCUGUGUUUUAUGGUGCACAUGGCGGCGGCCUGUGGAAGGUGAUCUGGCUGUCAUGAAGUUGUUUACUUGUUGUCCUGCUCAGUGUCUGUAGGUUUAAUCACACACUGGUUCAAAAUAGACACGCCCUCCUCAGUAAAUCACUCACUCAUUCCUCCAUUGUUGUCUUGGGAUGCACACGACAUUUCCUUUUUCCUCCUUUCUCUCCUUCCUGUUUGAAAAUAAAGCUUCCCUUAGUCUGUUUUAGAAACACAGCGGUCUUUUUAAAGAAUAACCUUUUGGCCUUGCAUUGUUACUUUGUGACCCCCAUGUUGCACAAAUAGCACCAGAUGGCUAGAUAAUCUAGUGGUUUGGAUUUUCCAAAAAAGGAUGGUAAGUGAAUUAAAGCCUUGUAAAAAGAUAAACAUCACAGCAGAGACAACCUGACAUUGAAAGGUUGUCUUGACCUUGGAUUCAAGUAACCAGACUUUAUCGUAUUGAAGUUGCUUCCACACUAACAUCUCUCUGUUCUCUUCUCUACUCUACCCACCGGCCUCCACCAACUGGUUUGCUUUACACUUCAACACUACACUCAUCCGGACAUUGCUGACUGAUUAAACAGAUUUACAUUACUACUUUGGUGUAUAAAAAAUGAACUUCCUUUAACCCUUGUUUCAUGAGUGAUACCCUUCUUUGUCACUUACUUUGAGCGGUUUGUUACAACAAACAAGAAGUCAGUAAAACAGUCUCAUCAAAGUUUACUCAGUGGCAGCUGUUGGCCUCACAAACGUUGGUUCCAUCCAUGGUUCUUUGCUCAACACAUUUGCAGUUCUGGAGAAAGUUAAUUUAUAUUGUGUAUAUUGUUUAUAAUAAAACGACUUUUCAUUUCUUUGCACAUUUCCCGGGACAAAUACCAUGACUCAAUCCAAGAGUAAACAACAUUAUCACAGGUACUGUAACUUAAAUGAGCAAUGGUUAGUGGGUUAGUAAACGUUUGCUACAGUUGCUGCUGCAAAGCUUGUGGUCAACCAGCUCCUGAAAGCAAUGUUCACAAAUGUUCUGCUAUUCUAGCUGACAUUUAAACAACAACAAGAAUUUAGGAAAUCUACUCACAAUGUGCUGUUAUUGGCUAGGAGAGCAAAUAGGUAUAUAAGUCAAGUUCAAGAUUGUACCCAGGAGACUACCCUUUGUGUCUCAUGUUGUUCUUCUGGGUGAGACAAGUACACGGCUCUGUGGUGAAAAGACUUCUCAGCAAACUUCUAGGCAUCAGGUACAAAGCAGCAACAGGAAAGGAGGGCAGGAUAAGGCAGUGCUCCCUUGGUGGGAAGUGUAAGCCUUUUUCUUUUACUAUUUACUUACACAGAUUUAUGUACAAACAACUGUAUUUUACACAUAGAGAAAGACUUCUUACUGUGACGAUAUUUGCCAAAGUAGAAAAAUGUGCACCUUCAAACUAUUUGGACAGAAAUUAAUAUCCGUGAUAUUCAGAUCGAAAAAGUUGAUAUAUACUGGUACACUUUGAAAAAAGCCAGGGCUUAGAGGCUAAAGAAAUGAGAUGUAAAACUUUAAUAGUUCUAAUGGAUCAAUGCGGGGUGAUUUGACAUUUUUGUGUAUUUUUCCAGGUCUGCUUUUGGUUUGGUGCUUGUGUUUUUUCUUUCAGAGGCUUAUUGGCUGCUGGAGCUCUCUGCAAUCACUCACCUGAUCAUCUGUAAUCACCGGCUGCAGCAUUUAGACCCUGGUUCACCUCUCCCAAACUGCCAGAUUAUUUCCGCCUACACUGUGUGCCUCCAACCAACGAGCUCCAGCGCCUCACCACCCAGCCUCUCAUUCAAGCCUCACCAGCCUUCACCAGCCUCACCUCAAUAAAUACCCCUUUUACCCAC